UACGUAGGGUGCAAGCGUUGUCCGGAAUUAUUGGGCGUAAAGAGCUCGUAGGCGGUCUGUCACGUCUGCUGUGAAAACUCGGGGCUUAACCCCGGGCCUGCAGUGGGUACGGGCAAACUAGAGUGCGGUAGGGGAGACUGGAAUUCCUGGUGUAGCGGUGAAAUGCGCAGAUAUCAGGAGGAACACCGGUGGCGAAGGCGGGUCUCUGGGCCGUAACUGACGCUGAGGAGCGAAAGCGUGGGGAGCGAACAGG
Molecule: ribosomal RNA, 253 nt
Filed under: uncultured bacterium
Lineage: Bacteria
Description: partial 16S ribosomal RNA
Rfam family: Bacterial small subunit ribosomal RNA
Source: RNAcentral